GAUGAACGCUGACAGAAUGCUUAACACAUGCAAGUCUUUGGCGAAGCUGUGCUUGCACAGCCUAGCCAAGGCGGACGGGUGAGUAACGCGUAAGGAACUUGCCCUGCAGUCAGGGAUAACAGACGGAAACGACUGAUAAGACCUGGUAAAGUCAGGCGGACUCAUGUCCAGCCUGAUGAAAAGAGAUGCUGCAGGAGAGCCUUGCGUCCUAUUAGCUUGUUGGUGGGGUAACGGCCCACCAAGGCGAUGAUAGGUAGCCGGCCUGAGAGGGUGGACGGCCACAAGGGGACUGAGAUACGGCCCUUACUCCUACGGGAGGCAGCAGUGGGGAAUAUUGGACAAUGGGGGCAACCCUGAUCCUGCAAUUCUGUGUGCACGAUGAAGGUUUUCGGAUUGUAAAGUGCUUUCAGCAGGGAAGAAAAAAAUGACGGUGCCUGCAGAAGAAGCGACGGCUAAAUACGUG
RNAcentral lists this ribosomal RNA (463 nucleotides) under uncultured bacterium. RNAcentral describes it as "partial 16S ribosomal RNA". It matches the Rfam family "Bacterial small subunit ribosomal RNA", at positions 28 to 507 of the family's 1533-position model. The record is from RNAcentral.